UGAGGAACGUGAUUCAACUAGCCAACUGGUGUUGAUUCAUAACGCACAUUGACGUUACAGCUUUGUUGCUGCCGCGCCGAACAGCCUUCACUUGGACUUCGUUGUGAGGCAGAUUACUGUUAAGCGGUAGAGUGUACGGCUAAGGACGAUAACGGACCUGUCCUACACUGAAGGAAUGACUUUACCUAGCUACGCUGAAGGAAUAAAACAGUGGCCAAGAUGUUGAUAAAGGUAAAAUGCGGAGGGACAAAGAAAUAUGUUAAAAUGGAAGACGUCAGCUUCUCAGACUUUAUCAGUGCAGUUCAGCAGAAGUUUCUCAUACCAGAAAGUACACCACUAAAAGUCACAGAUGAGCAAGGCAUAGAGGUGGACGAGGAUGUCUUUCCAGAACUUGCAACAGCCAAAGAAAUAUGUUUUAUCAUCUACACUGAAAAUGAGAUCCCACUAUUAGAAUCUUU
Perca fluviatilis (European perch) is the source of this 458-nucleotide long non-coding RNA. RefSeq lists it as uncharacterized. Lineage: Eukaryota; Metazoa; Chordata; Actinopteri; Perciformes; Percidae. The transcript is spliced from 5 exons. The record is from RefSeq and is a predicted model, not a curated record.